RNAcentral lists this ribosomal RNA (716 nucleotides) under uncultured bacterium. RNAcentral describes it as "bacterial SSU rRNA". It matches the Rfam family "Bacterial small subunit ribosomal RNA", at positions 9 to 694 of the family's 1533-position model. The record is from RNAcentral.
GAGUUUGAUCCUGGCUCAGGACGAACGCUGGCGGCGUGCCUAAUACAUGCAAGUCGAACGAAACUUUCUUACACCGAAUGCUUGCAUUCAUCGUAAGAAGUUGAGUGGCGGACGGGUGAGUAACACGUGGGUAACCUGCCUAAAAGAAGGGGAUAACACUUGGAAACAGGUGCUAAUACCGUAUAUCUCUAAGGAUCGCAUGAUCCUUAGAUGAAAGAUGGUUCUGCUAUCGCUUUUAGAUGGACCCGCGGCGUAUUAACUAGUUGGUGGGGUAACGGCCUACCAAGGUGAUGAUACGUAGCCGAACUGAGAGGUUGAUCGGCCACAUUGGGACUGAGACACGGCCCAAACUCCUACGGGAGGCAGCAGUAGGGAAUCUUCCACAAUGGACGCAAGUCUGAUGGAGCAACGCCGCGUGAGUGAAGAAGGUCUUCGGAUCGUAAAACACUGUUGUUAGAGAAGAACACGAGUGAGAGUAACUGUUCAUUCGAUGACGGUAUCUAACCAGCAAGUCACGGCUAACUACGUGCCAGCAGCCGCGGUAAUACGUAGGUGGCAAGCGUUGUCCGGAUUUAUUGGGCGUAAAGGGAACGCAGGCGGUCUUUUAAGUCUGAUGUGAAAGCCUUCGGCUUAACCGGAGUAGUGCAUUGGAAACUGGAAGACUUGAGUGCAGAAGAGGAGAGUGGAACUCCAUGUGUAGCGGUGAAAUGCGUAGA